This 568-nucleotide ribosomal RNA is filed under the name uncultured Bacilli bacterium. Its description in RNAcentral is "bacterial SSU rRNA". It matches the Rfam family "Bacterial small subunit ribosomal RNA", at positions 47 to 572 of the family's 1533-position model. Lineage: Bacteria; Bacillati; Bacillota; Bacilli. The record is from RNAcentral.
CCUAAUACAUGCAAGUCGAGCGCACUGGCCCAACUGAUAUGACGUGCUUGCACUGAUUUGACGAUGGAUACCAGUGAGCGGCGGACGGGUGAGUAACACGUGGGCAACCUGCCCUGGAGCGGGGGAUAACAUCUGGAAACAGGUGCUAAUACCGCAUGACUACUAAAACCACCUGGUUUUAGUAUAAAAGAAGGCUUCGGCUUUCACUCUAGGAUGGGCCCGCGGUGCAUUAGCUAGUUGGUAAGGUAACGGCUUACCAAGGCGAUGAUGCAUAGCCGAGUUGAGAGACUGAUCGGCCACAAUGGAACUGAGACACGGUCCAUACUCCUACGGGAGGCAGCAGUAGGGAAUCUUCCACAAUGGGCGCAAGCCUGAUGGAGCAACACCGCGUGAGUGAAGAAGGGUUUCGGCUCGUAAAGCUCUGUUGUUGAGGAAGAACGUGCGUGAGAGUAACUGUUCACGCAGUGACGGUAUUCAACCAGAAAGUCACGGCUAACUACGUGCCAGCAGCCGCGGUAAUACGUAGGUGGCAAGCGUUAUCCGGAUUUAUCGGGCGUAAAGCGAGCGC